CAAAAGCGUAUAUUAAAGUUGUUGCAGUUAAAAAGCUCGUAGUUGAACCUUGGGCUUGGCUGGCCGGUCCAUCUUUUUUGAUGCGUACUGGACCCAGCCGAGCCUUUCCUUCUGGCUAGCCUUUUGGCGAACCAGGACUUUUACUUUGAAAAAAUUAGAGUGUUCAAAGCAGGCCUUUGCUCGAAUAUAUUAGCAUGGAAUAAUAGAAUAGGACGUUAUGGUUCUAUUUUGUUGGUUUCUAGGACCAUCGUAAUGAUUAAUAGGGACGGUCGGGGGUAUCAGUAUUCGGUUGUCAGAGGUGAAAUUCUUGGAUUUACUGAAGACUAACUACUGCGAAAGCAUUUACCAAGGACGUUUUCAUUAA
RNAcentral lists this ribosomal RNA (364 nucleotides) under uncultured eukaryote. RNAcentral's name for it is "partial 18S ribosomal RNA". It matches the Rfam family "Eukaryotic small subunit ribosomal RNA", at positions 592 to 976 of the family's 1831-position model. The record is from RNAcentral.